CCCUAGCCCUGAUAGUAGUGAAAAUCCUUUUUUGUCAUCAGUUCGAGUUCGCUUGCAAAGAGAGUAUCGAGAACGAGACAAAAAAGAUUGUAAUGAAUAGCAGGAAAUUGC
RNAcentral lists this small RNA (111 nucleotides) under Flavobacterium swingsii. RNAcentral's name for it is "Flavo-1 RNA". It matches the Rfam family "Flavo-1 RNA". The record is from RNAcentral. Lineage: Bacteria; Pseudomonadati; Bacteroidota; Flavobacteriia; Flavobacteriales; Flavobacteriaceae.